This 554-nucleotide ribosomal RNA is filed under the name uncultured bacterium. RNAcentral's name for it is "partial 16S ribosomal RNA". It matches the Rfam family "Bacterial small subunit ribosomal RNA", at positions 355 to 902 of the family's 1533-position model. The record is from RNAcentral.
UGGGGAAUUUUGGACAAUGGGCGAAAGCCUGAUCCAGCAAUGCCGCGUGUGUGAAGAAGGCCUUCGGGUUGUAAGCACUUUUGUCCGGAAAGAAAUCCUUGGCUCUAAUACAGUCGGGGGAUGACGGUACCGGAAGAAUAAGCACCGGCUAACUACGUGCCAGCAGCCGCGGUAAUACGUAGGGUGCAAGCGUUAGUCGGAAUUACUGGGCGUAAAGCGUGCGCAGGCGGUUUGCUAAGACCGAUGUGAAAUCCCCGGGCUCAACCUGGGAACUGCAUUGGUGACUGGCAGGCUAGAGUAUGGCAGAGGGGGGUAGAAUUCCACGUGUAGCAGUGAAAUGCGUAGAGAUGUGGAGGAAUACCGAUGGCGAAGGCAGCCCCCUGGGCCAAGUACUGACGCUCAUGCACGAAAGCGUGGGGAGCAAACAGGAUUAGAUACCCUGGUAGUCCACGCCCUAAACGAUGUCAACUAGUUGUUGGGGAUUCAUUUCCUUAGUAACGUAGCUAACGCGUGAAGUUGACCGCCUGGGGAGUACGGUCGCAAGAUUAAAACUC